AUGUGAACUUCUGAGCACAGCUUUAAAUGUGAAUCAAAUCAUCAUUAGUACAAAACUGAAAAACAAAUCCAUUCCUCUUACACAGAAAACAAAGAGCACAUCCACUGGCACAGAAAGCAUAACGGACCUGACAAAGUGUCACUAUUUGAGCCAAUAUGAGAAAUUAUUAGUUUGGAAAUUCAGAUUGAAUUACCACUCUUGUGUUUUUCUGAGUACACUAGAUACAUACUGAUGGUGUUCCCCCCGAGCAGCUUGAACUGAUUUCUGCUUCUGUUUUUGGAUUUAAUUCUUCAGUUAAACCUUCACAGACCUAUGUGGUUUUACCAUUAAAUAUAUAUAUACUCUAUGCUACAUAGCAAAAUUUAGUUCUGAUUAACUGCAUCAUGCUUCCAGCUUAGCUCAAAGCAUCUGAAGACAUUUUACUCGAUUAAAACUCUGAUCCUAUGUUUUUUCUUUUUUCUUUAACAAGAUCAGGGCAGCGCUCGUCUGUAUCAGGCAGAGUGCACUUAUCUGAAUGACAAACACGGGGCCCUUUGUCUGCCAUGAUAGAAAAUGACAUUGAGAAAUCGCACUGUAGCUUCCGUAACAAAACAUGGCGCUGCCUCUUUGUCAUACCAUAUAUGGACGGGUGAUCUGGCAACGUCCCGCGGUUUGAUUCUGUUAGCGGGACUGACCUGUGACCUCUUUUUUCUGUGUGAGUCCAGUGUAACUGUUUAUGUCAACAUCACUCCUCUCCCUCCAUCCUGACUGAGCGGCUCCCGCUCACAGCAAGUAUAUCUGCACCAACGCCUCCAGCUUUUCCCAAAAAGUUAGAACAACAGAUGUUCACGUACACCAGAAAAUGUAUUUGUACAAACACAGACACACAUGCCAUGAAACACACUGGCAAUAAUCAAAUAAAAAUCACUUGUAUAUACAUGUACUGUAUGUACACACAUGCAGUAUUUAUCAGUUAUAAAUUAAGACAAAUUGCUGCAAAUAGUCAAACAUACAAAGUCAAUUUGAGUUAUUUAAAGCAUAACAAGUUGUUUUAUGCCCUUAAAUAUAAUCACUGUGUAUUUGAAGUAUCACCGCUGCACUGGGUUCUUUGACACUAAAAUAUGUAUUACAGAGACUCCGGGGGGGUGAUUUUGUUCAGCUUUUACAAGAAAGAUAUUCAUUCUAAAUCCACAGGAGACAUACUGAGCACAUGGAGUCAUUAGCAAAGUGAUGACUUGCUUUCUAUAUCAGGUAUUAUUUUUUAAAAGACAAGGUUAGAAAGGAUUAGUAAGAAGCUGAAAAUUGCUUGAUACAAUUCCUUAAUCAUCCUCAACAGCUUAUUAAAAAUCCCCAUGUGUCCUCCUAGAGCUUUUUCCCCUUAAGAUGUCACAAUUGUUUUUCAGAGUCAU
Molecule: long non-coding RNA, 1388 nt
Organism: Thalassophryne amazonica
Lineage: Eukaryota; Metazoa; Chordata; Actinopteri; Batrachoidiformes; Batrachoididae
Exons: 3
Source: RefSeq, a predicted model, not a curated record